AGAACGAACGCUGGCGGCGUGCUUAACACAUGCAAGUCGAACGUGAUUCGGAGCUUGCUCUGAUGAAAGUGGCGCACGGGUGAGUAACGCGUGGAUAACCUGCCCUGGUAUCUGGGAUAACAUCUCGAAAGGGGUGCUAAUACCGGAUAAGCCUCCGGGAUCUUCGGAUUCUGCAGGAAAAGAAGGCCUCUAUUUAUAAGCUUUCGUAUCAGGAUGGGUCCGCGUACCAUUAGCUAGUUGGUGGGUAAUGGCCUACCAAGGCGACGAUGGUUAGCUGGUCUGAGAGGAUGAUCAGCCACACUGGAACUGAGACACGGUCCAGACUCCUACGGGAGGCAGCAGUGGGAAUUUGCGCGAAUGGGAAACCCUGACGCAGCAACGCCGCGUGAGUGAUGAAGGCUUUCGGUCGUAAAGCUACUGUCGAGGAGGGAAGAAAGUGGAACGUGGACUAAUA
This 454-nucleotide ribosomal RNA is filed under the name uncultured soil bacterium. RNAcentral's name for it is "bacterial SSU rRNA". It matches the Rfam family "Bacterial small subunit ribosomal RNA", at positions 26 to 471 of the family's 1533-position model. The record is from RNAcentral.